GAUGAACGCUGGCGGCGUGCCUAAUACAUGCAAGUCGAGCGAACAGAUGAGGAGCUUGCUCCUCUGACGUUAGCGGCGGGCGGGUGAGUAACACGUGGAUAACCUACCUAUAAGACUGGGAUAACUUCGGGAAACCGGAGCUAAUACCGGAUAAUAUAUUGAACCGCAUGGUUCAAUAGUGAAAGACGGUUUUGCUGUCACUUAUAGAUGGAUCCGCGCCGCAUUAGCUAGUUGGUAAGGUAACGGCUUACCAAGGCAACGAUGCGUAGCCGACCUGAGAGGGUGAUCGGCCACACUGGAACUGAGACACGGUCCAGACUCCUACGGGAGGCAGCAGUAGGGAAUCUUCCGCAAUGGGCGAAAGCCUGACGGAGCAACGCCGCGUGAGUGAUGAAGGUCUUCGGAUCGUAAAACUCUGUUAUUAGGGAAGAACAAAUGUGUAAGUAACUAUGCACGUCUUGACGGUACCUAAUCAGAAAGCCACGGCUAACUACGUG
Molecule: ribosomal RNA, 497 nt
Filed under: uncultured bacterium
Lineage: Bacteria
Description: partial 16S ribosomal RNA
Rfam family: Bacterial small subunit ribosomal RNA
Source: RNAcentral